Lynx canadensis (Canada lynx) is the source of this 817-nucleotide long non-coding RNA. RefSeq lists it as uncharacterized. The transcript is spliced from 3 exons. NCBI's taxonomy places the organism in Eukaryota, Metazoa, Chordata, Mammalia, Carnivora, Felidae. The record is from RefSeq and is a predicted model, not a curated record.
GGGGCCUGCGAUCGAUGUCACUAGAAGCGUCAUCUCCUUGAAGACCAGCGUUCUCGUGAUUAUGGAGGCCUCUCUGUCCUUCCUGUGACUGGAGCAAUGCUGACCUCGGUGUCUUGGACCCAUUCCGACUCAGGUAACCAGGCUCUGCCUCCAUCCCCCCCCCCCCCCCCCCCCCCGGAGAUUGCACUGAAUAAAUGAAAUACCAAAGCUAUAUUUAAAUGCAAAUGCCAAAUUGAUUGUUGCUUCAUCAAUUGGGACCCUCCCCCUCUUCCUCCCAAUCUUCUCAAUGAUUAAUUUAUGCAGCUGAUCAGACUGACAAUGUGGUCAAUCCAAUUUAGGCAUUAAGAUAAUGAAAACAUUCAAUCACAUCUUUAUUUAAAAUUUUGGAGUGUCACAGAUACACGGAGCAACAGGAACACUGCUGGGCGUCUUCAUACAGAAACUCGCUUCUGCCAUAGUUCCUGUAAAUCAGUCUCUUUCCCAUAAUGCCAUGUUUUACUUGAAUUAUAUUAAUCUUUCCAAUGUAUCUUUUGACUGAAUGUAGUAAGUAUUGCGGAGUACCCGUUACGUGUUCUUGGGGCAGAUGGGAAUAAAAAAGAAAAAAAGAAAAAAUUGAAGGCACGGAGCUCGCCUCCCAGAGUCACGGCUUAGCCAAAGAUCCGUGACUCACUCGUAAGAAAAUGGCAGAUGGUGGUGCUCAGUUUAGGGCCAGUGCCGCGUACUAAUUAAUGGUUCCCUCUUUGGUUGAGGGAAUUGAGAGACUUUGAGGAUUGGGAUUGAAAUAAUUAGGGAAGAAUUCAUGGAAGAGGGAGGGCCU